AUGUCACUACUCCUAGAAGCCCUUUCCUGCACUUCCUGGCUCCUCAGGUUUCCUGCUUCAUCCUGCACCUGCCUUCUUGAAAGAAAAUAAGACAUCAGAUACUUAUUCAAAUAAUGGAAUAGCUGAUCAACUGGGUCUCCACACAAAAGAGAAUUUUGUUUAAAUGUAAGAACUGGAAAAGCACAGGUGACUGUUUAGCUUGGCCAUUUGCUGCUCCUACCUCAAAUAGAAGGUUGGAAUGCACUGGUGCACACAUCCAAUUUCAAUUUACAAAACUGGAAUUAAACCGUACACAAUGUACCUUUUAAAACUUAACAUUAUACUAAGUAUAUUUUGACACAUAAUUACACAUCCUUUGAAACUGCAUAUAAUUCCACCAUAGAGGUGUAUCAUAAUUUAUGAUUGGACAUUUUGAUUAAAAGCCAGCAAUAC
This 432-nucleotide small RNA is filed under the name Pongo abelii (Sumatran orangutan). Its description in RNAcentral is "processed transcript". The record is from RNAcentral. Lineage: Eukaryota; Metazoa; Chordata; Mammalia; Primates; Hominidae.